AUUGAACGCUGGCGGCAGGCCUAACACAUGCAAGUCGAGCGGAUGAAGGGAGCUUGCUCCUGGAUUCAGCGGCGGACGGGUGAGUAAUGCCUAGGAAUCUGCCUGGUAGUGGAGGAUAACGUCCGGAAACGGGCGCUAAUACCGCAUACGUCCUGAGGGAGAAAGUGGGGGAUCUUCGGACCUCACGCUAUCAGAUGAGCCUAGGUCGGAUGAGCUAGUUGGUGGGGUAAAGGCCUACCAAGGCGACGAUCCGUAACUGGUCUGAGAGGAUGAUCAGUCACACUGGAACUGAGACACGGUCCAGACUCCUACGGGAGGCAGCAGUGGGGAAUAUUGGACAAUGGGCGAAAGCCUGAUCCAGCCAUGCCGCGUGUGUGAAGAAGGUCUUCGGAUUGUAAAGCACUUUAAGUUGGGAGGAAGGGCAGUAAGUUAAUACCUUGCUGUUUUGACGUUACCAACAGAAUAAGCACCGGCUAACUUCGUG
This 484-nucleotide ribosomal RNA is filed under the name uncultured bacterium. RNAcentral's name for it is "partial 16S ribosomal RNA". It matches the Rfam family "Bacterial small subunit ribosomal RNA", at positions 30 to 507 of the family's 1533-position model. The record is from RNAcentral.